This 474-nucleotide ribosomal RNA is filed under the name uncultured bacterium. RNAcentral describes it as "bacterial SSU rRNA". It matches the Rfam family "Bacterial small subunit ribosomal RNA", at positions 471 to 943 of the family's 1533-position model. The record is from RNAcentral.
GACGGUACCUUAUUAGAAAGCCACGGCUAACUACGUGCCAGCAGCCGCGGUAAUACGUAGGUGGCAAGCGUUGUCCGGAAUUAUUGGGCGUAAAGCGCGCGCAGGCGGUCCUUUAAGUCUGAUGUGAAAGCCCACGGCUCAACCGUGGAGGGUCAUUGGAAACUGGGGGACUUGAGUGCAGAAGAGGAAAGUGGAAUUCCAAGUGUAGCGGUGAAAUGCGUAGAGAUUUGGAGGAACACCAGUGGCGAAGGCGACUUUCUGGUCUGUAACUGACGCUGAGGCGCGAAAGCGUGGGGAGCAAACAGGAUUAGAUACCCUGGUAGUCCACGCCGUAAACGAUGAGUGCUAAGUGUUAGGGGGUUUCCGCCCCUUAGUGCUGCAGCUAACGCAUUAAGCACUCCGCCUGGGGAGUACGGUCGCAAGACUGAAACUCAAAGGAAUUGACGGGGGCCCGCACAAGCGGUGGAGCAUGUG